CCUACGUGAGGCAGCAGUGGGGAAUAUUGCACAAUGGGGGAAACCCUGAUGCAGCGACGCCGCGUGAGUGAAGAAGUAAUUCGUUAUGUAAAGCUCUAUCAGCAGGGAAGAAAAUGACGGUACCUGAGUAAGAAGCCCCGGCUAACUACGUGCCAGCAGCCGCGGUAAUACGUAGGGGGCAAGCGUUAUCCGGAUUUACUGGGUGUAAAGGGAGCGUAGACGGCAGUGCAAGUCUGGAGUGAAAGGCGGGGGCUCAACCCCCGGACUGCUCUGGAAACUGUACGGCUGGAGUGCAGGAGAGGUAAGUGGAAUUCCUAGUGUAGAGGUGAAAUGCGUAGAUAUUAGGAGGAACACCAGUGGCGAAGGCGGCUUACUGGACUGUAACUGACGUUGAGGCUCGAAAGCGUGGGGAGCAAACAGGAUUAGAUACCCCAGUAGUC
This 440-nucleotide ribosomal RNA is filed under the name uncultured bacterium. RNAcentral's name for it is "partial 16S ribosomal RNA". It matches the Rfam family "Bacterial small subunit ribosomal RNA", at positions 338 to 795 of the family's 1533-position model. The record is from RNAcentral.